Lutra lutra (Eurasian river otter) is the source of this 830-nucleotide long non-coding RNA. RefSeq lists it as uncharacterized. The record is from RefSeq and is a predicted model, not a curated record. The transcript has 4 exons. NCBI's taxonomy places the organism in Eukaryota, Metazoa, Chordata, Mammalia, Carnivora, Mustelidae.
GACUCUGGGGGUAAGUGGAGCAGUUAGCGUGGCGGCAAAGCAACUGUGUCUGAGGCGCUCUCUCCACGGAUACUUUCCUCAGGUGCGCGCUACUCGAGGCCACCCCAGAGUAGCACUGACACUUCAACUACAAAAUCAUUGGACCUCAGAGCCAACCAGACUCUGAGAAGUAGUACUUUGCCUCUUGGGUCACCAUUUCUCCAGCGUGGACCUCCUUUUUGGUUAUUUCAGAUCCAAACCUUAGAUUCCAGCCACGGACAACACAAGGACAGGGCCCUAGAUCGAGAUGACGACUGCAGAAGGAGGCCGAAUUGUCAGGCCUCGGCUCCUCUGGUUGGCUGUCCAACACGUCAGUCGGAAGUGAACAAGCUUUUAAUUGGUCUUAUGCAAUGGGAAACACAAAACACUCCUCUGAUUGGCCUCUUCGUCGAGGGGCGGGCCAUAGGGAGAGCGGCUUGUUUGGGCUGGAAUGGAAGACCAAUGGGAGCGCCGCGGCGCUGCUUUCGAAAGCGAGGCCUGCCAACAGCACCUGGAAGAGUCCGCCGGUUGUCUCGGAGAUCCUGUGGCUUGUUCGCCAUCAGCAAAGCAAUCACAAAAGAGCUAUUGCCUGUACAGUCCUCUUCAUCAUUUGUGACCUGGGAUAUUGAGCUCAUGGGCUGGCAGAAUUCCAGUCCAUGAGGCAAUCUGUGUCAUUCUGGUCUAGCCAGUCUCUGGCAACCACCAUUCUAUGUUGUCUCAAUGCAUUUGACUACUCUAGAAACCUCAUUGGUCUGGAACCCAACCCACAGUACCUCCAAGGUAUGCCUGUACGAAGUUUUGAAAUUGGUAAG